AGAGUUUGAUCCUGGCUCAGAUUGAACGCUGGCGGCAGGCCUAACACAUGCAAGUCGAGCGGAAACGAGUUAUCUGAACCUUCGGGGAACGAUAACGGCGUCGAGCGGCGGACGGGUGAGUAAUGCCUAGGAAAUUGCCCUGAUGUGGGGGAUAACCAUUGGAAACGAUGGCUAGUACCGCAUAACACCUUCGGGUCAAAGAGGGGGACCUUCGGGCCUCUCGCGUCAGGAUAUGCCUAGGUGGGAUUAGCUAGUUGGUGAGGUAAUGGCUCACCAAGGCGACGAUCCCUAGCUGGUCUGAGAGGAUGAUCAGCCACACUGGAACUGAGACACGGUCCAGACUCCUACGGGAGGCAGCAGUGGGGAAUAUUGCACAAUGGGCGCAAGCCUGAUGGGGCCAUGCCGCGUGUGUGAAGAAGGCCUUCGGGUUGUAAAGCACUUUCAGUCGUGAGGAAGGUAGUGUAGUUAAUAGCUGCAUUAUUUGACGUUAGCGACAGAAGAAGCACCGGCUAACUCCGUGCCAGCAGCCGCGGUAAU
This 537-nucleotide ribosomal RNA is filed under the name uncultured bacterium. Its description in RNAcentral is "bacterial SSU rRNA". It matches the Rfam family "Bacterial small subunit ribosomal RNA", at positions 8 to 524 of the family's 1533-position model. The record is from RNAcentral.